RNAcentral lists this ribosomal RNA (468 nucleotides) under uncultured bacterium. Its description in RNAcentral is "partial 16S ribosomal RNA". It matches the Rfam family "Bacterial small subunit ribosomal RNA", at positions 28 to 507 of the family's 1533-position model. The record is from RNAcentral.
GACGAACGCUGGCGGCGUGCUUAACACAUGCAAGUCGAACGGAAAGGCCCUGCUUUUGUGGGGUGCUCGAGUGGCGAACGGGUGAGUAACACGUGAGUAACCUGCCCUUGACUUUGGGAUAACUUCAGGAAACUGGGGCUAAUACCGGAUAGGAGCUCCUGCUGCAUGGUGGGGGUUGGAAAGUUUCGGCGGUUGGGGUUGGACUCGCGGCUUAUCAGCUUGUUGGUGGGGUAGUGGCUUACCAAGGCUUUGACGGGUAGCCGGCCUGAGAGGGUGACCGGCCACAUUGGGACUGAGAUACGGCCCAGACUCCUACGGGAGGCAGCAGUGGGGAAUAUUGCACAAUGGGCGGAAGCCUGAUGCAGCAACGCCGCGUGCGGGAUGACGGCCCUCGGGUUGUAAACCGCUUUCGCCUGUGACGAAGCGUGAGUGACGGUAAUGGGUAAAGAAGCACCGGCUAACUACGUG